GCGAGUGAAGAGGGACAAGCUCAAAUUUUAAAUCUGUUAGGUUCAUCUAACCGAGUUGUAAUUUGAAGAGGCGUUUUCUGCGUUUUUGAUCAGUCCAAGUCCUUUGGAAUAAGGCAUCAUGGAGGGUGAGAAUCCCGUUCGGUUGAUCAAAUUUGCUUUAUGAUACGUCAUCUAAGAGUCAAGUUGUUUGGGAUUGCAGCUUAAAAUGGGAGGUAAAUUUCUCCUAAGGCUAAAUAACGGCGAGAGACCGAUAGCGAACAAGUACCGUGAGGGAAGGAUGAAAAGAACUUUGAAAAGAGAGUUAAAUAGUACGUGAAAUUGUUGAAAGGGAAACGAUUGAAGUCAGUCGUACCUGCGGGAUAAUCAGCCCUUCGAGUAUGAUUCUGUGGAGUGUAAGGAGUUUAACCGUCUUCAUACCUGCAUAUUCGUGCGCUUUGGGUGUACUUGUCCGUAUGGUAGGUUAACAUCAAUUUUGGUCGUUAUAAAAUGACUAGGGGAAUGUAGCUUUGAUCCCGUAUUGAAGUGUUAUAGUCUCUGGUAAAUGCAGUGACUAGGAUUGAGGAUUGCAACGGAUACCUUUCGGCUACUCGUCUGAUCUCUGGAAGUUACUUUGGUGCUAAAAGCUUGCUUAUGGUUAUCGAAGUUGACGGUCAAUAGGUUAGAACGAGUUAAAUUCGUUAAGGAUGU
Molecule: ribosomal RNA, 687 nt
Filed under: Rhizophagus intraradices
Lineage: Eukaryota; Fungi; Glomeromycota; Glomeromycetes; Glomerales; Glomeraceae
Description: partial large subunit ribosomal RNA
Rfam family: Eukaryotic large subunit ribosomal RNA
Source: RNAcentral